Molecule: ribosomal RNA, 477 nt
Filed under: uncultured bacterium
Lineage: Bacteria
Description: partial 16S ribosomal RNA
Rfam family: Bacterial small subunit ribosomal RNA
Source: RNAcentral
GAUGAACGCUGGCGGCGUGCCUAACACAUGCAAGUCGAACGGAGUCCAGCCUUAGAGACCUUCGGGUCAAAGAGGGGAAGACUGAGUGGCGGACGGGUGAGUAACACGUGGGCAACCUGGCUCAUAGAGGGGGAUAACAGAGAGAAAUUUCUGCUAAUACCGCAUAAGCACACACUGCCGCAUGGCAGAGUGUGAAAAGAGAAUCGCUAUGAGAUGGACCCGCGUCUGAUUAGCCAGUUGGCAGGGUAAGAGCCUACCAAAGCGACGAUCAGUAGCCGAUUUGAGAGGAUGAACGGCCACAUUGGGACUGAGACACGGCCCAAACUCCGACGGGAGGCAGCAGUGGGGGAUAUUGCACAAUGGGGGGAACCCUGAUGCAGCGACGCCGCGUGAGUGAAGAAGUAUUUCGGUAUGUAAAGCUCUAUCAGCAGGGAAGAUAAUGACAGUACCUGAAUAAGAAGCCCCGGCUAACUACGU